AGUGAACGCUGGCGGUAGGCCUAACACAUGCAAGUUGAACGGCAGCACAGUAAGAGCUUGCUCUUACGGGUGGCGAGUGGCGGACGGGUGAGGAAUACAUCGGAAUCUACUUUUUCGUGGGGGAUAACGUAGGGAAACUUACGCUAAUACCGCAUACGACCUACGGGUGAAAGCAGGGGAUCUUCGGACCUUGCGCGAUUGAAUGAGCCGAUGUCGGAUUAGCUAGUUGGCGGGGUAAAGGCCCACCAAGGCGACGAUCCGUAGCUGGUCUGAGAGGAUGAUCAGCCACACUGGAACUGAGACACGGUCCAGACUCCUACGGGAGGCAGCAGUGGGGAAUAUUGGACAAUGGGCGCAAGCCUGAUCCAGCCAUACCGCGUGGGUGAAGAAGGCCUUCGGGUUGUAAAGCCCUUUUGUGGGGAAAGAAAAGCAGCAGGUUAAUACCCCGCUGUUCUGACGGUACCCAAAGAAUAAGCACCGGCUAACUUCGUG
This 492-nucleotide ribosomal RNA is filed under the name uncultured bacterium. RNAcentral's name for it is "partial 16S ribosomal RNA". It matches the Rfam family "Bacterial small subunit ribosomal RNA", at positions 29 to 507 of the family's 1533-position model. The record is from RNAcentral.